GUGGAAUUAGCAACUUUUGUCAGGGUUUUGAGAUCAUAGGCAAUCCAGCACCUGGAUGACUUGGUGUGGUAGAAAUAACCCAAACACUUGCAAUCCUUGGUGCAUUUGCUGCUACAAGCAUCCUGCUUCAUGGGUCCAUCUCCAUUUGUGUACUUGGAAUUGAAGUGAUCAACCCCUUCUAGUUUGUAGUAGUAAAAAUCUUUCACUCCACAUGAUACCUUUGCUGCCUGGCAAUUCUUGCUCCAGCCCAGCAAGCCCUUUGGUGAUGGACAAGCAACACAUUGGUCAUCCUGGCAGAGACCAAAGUUCCCACACCUUUCAGGCAAUUGGCAUUCAGUUUCCCAAGAGUCUCCGGAAAACAGAGUGUAGGUCACUUGCCAAGCACUCCAAUCUGCAUUAUCUUCGUAAGUGUAGAUUCUAAGGUUUCCAUCAAUUUCCAAGCGAAGAUAUGACAAAGUUGUGUUGUAUUUAGGCCUUCUCAGGGUGAGAGUUCCACCAUAAGAGGAAUUAGGACCCUGGAAUGCCAAAGAUAAUUCUGAGCCAAAUGUUACACGAUUCAAAGGACCCUUCAAUACACUGAAUAAUUCAGAAAAUGAGAAGUAAAGCAAUGAUUUUGGGGAUUUUGGGCUUUUAUAAUACAUGGCCAGAGUCUUGUCCUCCAUGACCAAACUAUAAGGACCAUCGGAGUUCUGUUUUUCAGAAGCUCGACUCACAAGCUUGGUUGCAGCCCCAAGCUUGAGAGACUGACCCACUAAAAGGGUAUCAGUUGGGUGAUCAAAACUCUGCCAAAUAAACCUACCCUUAGAAUCAUGGAGAACCAUGUUACCAUUCGAGAGUAACUUGAACCCAACAACACCUUUAUUGGCAGUGUUGGUUUGCCAAGCAAUCCGGCCAUUAGCAUCUGCCAAGACAAGGUUUCCUUCAGUUCCAAAGAUGAGGGUGGCCUUUUCGCCAACUGGGU
RNAcentral lists this unclassified non-coding RNA (961 nucleotides) under Hevea brasiliensis (rubber tree). Lineage: Eukaryota; Viridiplantae; Streptophyta; Magnoliopsida; Malpighiales; Euphorbiaceae. The record is from RNAcentral.